GAGUUUGAUCGUGGCUCAGGAUGAACGCUAGCGGCAGGCUUAACACAUGCAAGUCGAGGGGUAUAGGUUUUCGGACCUAGAGACCGGCGCACGGGUGCGUAACGCGUAUGCAAUCUACCUUUUACAGAGGGAUAGCCCAGAGAAAUUUGGAUUAAUACCUCAUAGUAUUAUUGAGUGGCAUCAUUUAAUAAUUAAAGUUUCAACGGUAAAGAUGAGCAUGCGUCCCAUUAGCUAGAUGGUAAGGUAACGGCUUACCAUGGCGACGAUGGGUAGGGGUCCUGAGAGGGAGAUCCCCCACACUGGUACUGAGACACGGACCAGACUCCUACGGGAGGCAGCAGUGAGGAAUAUUGGUCAAUGGGCGCAAGCCUGAACCAGCCAUGCCGCGUGCAGGAUGACGGUCCUAUGGAUUGUAAACUGCUUUUGUACAGGAAGAAACAGUUCUACGUGUAGAACCUUGACGGUACUGUAAGAAUAAGGAUCGGCUAACUCCGUGCCAGCCGCCGCCGUAA
This 512-nucleotide ribosomal RNA is filed under the name uncultured Flavobacterium sp. RNAcentral's name for it is "bacterial SSU rRNA". It matches the Rfam family "Bacterial small subunit ribosomal RNA", at positions 9 to 523 of the family's 1533-position model. Lineage: Bacteria; Pseudomonadati; Bacteroidota; Flavobacteriia; Flavobacteriales; Flavobacteriaceae. The record is from RNAcentral.